GGACCCGCACAAGUAGUGGAGCAUGUGGUUUAAUUCGAAGAUACGCGCAGAACCUUACCAACACUUGACAUGUUCGUCGCGACUUUAAGAGAUUAAAGUUUUCGGUUCGGCCGGACGAAACACAGGUGCUGCAUGGCUGUCGUCAGCUCGUGUCGUGAGAUGUUGGGUUAAGUCCCGCAACGAGCGCAACCCUCACUUUUAGUUGCCAUCAUUAAGUUGGGCACUCUGAAAGAACUGCCAGUGAUAAGCUGGAGGAAGGUGGGGAUGACGUCAAGUCCUCAUGGCCCUUACGUGUUGGGCUACACACGUGCUACAAUGGUAUCUACAACAGGAAGCAAGACGGCGACGUUAAGCAAAUCCUUAAAAGAUACCUCAGUUCGGAUUGCACUCUGCAACUCGACCCCAUGAAGUCGGAAUCGCUAGUAAUCG
This 429-nucleotide ribosomal RNA is filed under the name uncultured bacterium. Its description in RNAcentral is "bacterial SSU rRNA". It matches the Rfam family "Bacterial small subunit ribosomal RNA", at positions 917 to 1344 of the family's 1533-position model. The record is from RNAcentral.